This 269-nucleotide ribosomal RNA is filed under the name uncultured prokaryote. RNAcentral describes it as "partial 16S ribosomal RNA". It matches the Rfam family "Bacterial small subunit ribosomal RNA", at positions 524 to 792 of the family's 1533-position model. The record is from RNAcentral.
CACGUAGGAUUCAAGCGUUAUCCGAAUUUACUGGGCGUAAAGCGCGUGUAGGCGGUGCGGUAAGUUGGACGUGAAAGCUCCUGGCUCAACUAGGAGAGGUCGUUCAAAACUGCCGUACUAGAGGACGGUAGAGGGAGGUGGAAUUCCCGGUGUAGUGGUGAAAUGCGUAGAUAUCGGGAGGAACACCAGUGGCGAAGGCGGCCUCCUGGGCCGUUCCUGACGCUCAGACGCGAAAGCUAGGGGAGCAAACGGGAUUAGAUACCCCCGUA